UUGCCCUACGGGACGCAGCAGUCAGGAAUAUUGCGCAAUGGAGGAAACUCUGACGCAGUGACGCCGCGUAUAGGAAGAAGGUUUUCGGAUUGUAAACUAUUGUCAUUAGGGAAGAUAAAAGACUGUACCUAAGGAGGAAGCCCCGGCUAACUACGUGCCAGCAGCCGCGGUAAUACGUAGGGGGCUAGCGUUAUCCGGAAUUACUGGGCGUAAAGGGUGCGUAGGUGGUUUCUUAAGUCAGAGGUGAAAGGCUACGGCUCAACCGUAGUAAGCCUUUGAAACUGGGGAACUUGAGUGCAGGAGAG
This 305-nucleotide ribosomal RNA is filed under the name uncultured bacterium. RNAcentral's name for it is "bacterial SSU rRNA". It matches the Rfam family "Bacterial small subunit ribosomal RNA", at positions 334 to 656 of the family's 1533-position model. The record is from RNAcentral.